RNAcentral lists this small RNA (44 nucleotides) under Curtobacterium sp. ER1/6. RNAcentral describes it as "mini-ykkC RNA motif". The record is from RNAcentral. Lineage: Bacteria; Bacillati; Actinomycetota; Actinomycetes; Micrococcales; Microbacteriaceae.
CGCCGACGACGACGACGACUUCGACGACGACGAGGACGACCUCG